Molecule: long non-coding RNA, 1532 nt
Filed under: Mus musculus (house mouse)
Lineage: Eukaryota; Metazoa; Chordata; Mammalia; Rodentia; Muridae
Description: long non-coding RNA chr10:20264822-20266354
Source: RNAcentral
UGGGCAGAGUUAGCCCCAAGUGCCUCACAUUGCACUUCUGUCUUUCUCUUUCUGUCUUUCCCACCCAGCUCCUUGAUCUUAUUUAAGCCACAUCAAAAUGUUUCUACAACCUACACGUGGUAGCACACACCUUUAACCCCAAUACUCUGGAGACAGAGGCAGGUAGACUCAAUGAGUUCAAGGCCAUCCUGGUCUACACAGUAAGUUCCAGGACAGCCAGAGACCCUGUCUCCAAACACACACACGCACACACACACACACACACACACACACACACACACUCUCUCUCUCUCUCUCUCUCUCUCUCUCUCUCUGAGCCAAGAGAUGGGCCAGCCACAGGUAAAGGUACUUGCUGGCAAGCAUGAUAAUCCCAGUUCAUCCCGAGCCUGCAGGCUGGAAGGAGAAAACCAACUCUGACGUUCACAAGUUGUCCUUAGACGCAACACAGGCAUACACUCACAGAGGAAUAAGCAAAUAAGGAAAUAAAUGAAUGUGUGUUUUAAAACUUUGUUAAAGGAAGAAGAAAGGACUUACUUUGCUACUUUAGCAUCUCCCUUAGGAAGAAAGGUGGUCCCUCCUCCCUAGUUCCAGUCUUCCCGAUGCUUGUCUAUCUACCACUGAGGAGGGAACCCAUCUAGUAGCUGCGCCUUUUACCACCCAGAGACUGCACCCGUCCUUCAAGGCCCCACCUGCCUUUGAGGAGUCAGUUGGGGCAGAGGGUGGCCUUGCAACUGGGUUGAUCCAGACAUGGCCCCCACAGCCAUGGGAGGAUCUUCUUUACCCUCAGUUCUUCUGUGGUAGGAACUCAGCAGAGACAGUGGAGACAUCAGAGGUUUCCUCCACUGGUAGCCCAGUCAGCCAGCCCGGAAGGUGGGAGAAGCAGUUUGAGGAACUCAGUAGAGAAGGAGCGGGAGCACUGUGAUUGUUCACUGGCAGCCUGGCUGGGUGACAUCUACCUGUCCCUGGUUCCUUGUACUGGAUUAGCCAGAGGUCCCCGGCUAGCAUCCUCCUCGGUCCUCUCUUCUCACCCCGUAUCUCCUCCUCCCUCCCUUCCUCAGCCUGAGAUUCUUCAAACACGGAGCUUCCUCUUGCUCCCUUCUGUUUUCUCCCCACUCUUGCCUUUUGACUUCAGAACCUUGGAACACAUCUCUGGUCUUCUCUUCCUACGUUUGGCCAGAUCUCUGGCUGAGCGCUAGGCAGUCAUCAUGGAGGGCUGGUGUCUCCGCUCACUGUUGGAGCUCUUUCUAGGAACACACGACCUACACUUCCUCACCUGAGCCCCACUUUCCUUGUAGAGUAAGGGGACCCUUAUGUAAGGACUUAUCUACAAAAGUCACAUAAAAGGUGACCGUGUAUCUGAAAUACCAGACAUGUGAGUAAAUGAUGGAGCGAUGGUAUAUUCCAAAACAGAAGAGAACUGCUAAAGAAUAGAAAAGUAGAACAUGUGCUUAAAAGUAGUGUGGCUCAGUAGUAGGGCACUUGCCCAGUAUGACGCCUGAGGUUUAAUCCUCAGUAUGGCAAAAAGAAAAAUG